UGGAUUAGGCAUGCAAGUCGAGCGAUCGUAGCAAUACGGGAGCGGCAAACGGGGUAGGAAUACCUCGGAACAUACCCUCAGGUCGGGGAUAGCGGCGGGAAACUGCCGGUAAUACCCGAUGAUAUCGAGAGAUCAAAGGUUUACUGCCUGGGGAGUGGCCGAGGCGAUAUUAGCUAGUUGGUGAGGUAAUGGCUCACCAAGGCAUAGAUGUCUAGGGGGCGUGAGAGCGCGACCCCCACCACUGGGACUGAGAAACUGCCCAGACACCUACGGGUGGCUGCAGUCGAGAAUCUUCGUCAAUGGGGGAAACCCUGAACGAGCGACGCCGCGUGUGGGAUGAAGGCCUUUGGGUUGUAAACCACUGUCAGGGGGGAUGAAACCGCAAGGUUGACAGAGCCCCAGAGGAGGCACGGGCUAAGUUCGUGCCAGCAGCCGCGGUA
This 440-nucleotide ribosomal RNA is filed under the name uncultured bacterium. RNAcentral's name for it is "bacterial SSU rRNA". It matches the Rfam family "Bacterial small subunit ribosomal RNA", at positions 45 to 522 of the family's 1533-position model. The record is from RNAcentral.